GAGCGCAACCCUCGCCUUAGUUGCCAGCAUUCAGUUGGGCACUCUAGAGGGACUGCCGGUGUCAAACCGGAGGAAGGUGGGGAUGACGUCAAGUCCUCAUGGCCUUUAUGUCUAGGGCUACACACGUACUACAAUGGCCGGUACAAAGGGCAGCCACUCAGCGAUGAGGCGCUAAUCCCAUAAAGCCGGUCUCAGUCCGGAUCGCAGUCUGCAACUCGACUGCGUGAAGUUGGAAUCGCUAGUAAUCGCGGAUCAGCAUGCCGCGGUGAAUACGUUCCCGGGCCUU
This 286-nucleotide ribosomal RNA is filed under the name uncultured Desulfovibrio sp. RNAcentral describes it as "partial 16S ribosomal RNA". It matches the Rfam family "Bacterial small subunit ribosomal RNA", at positions 1094 to 1382 of the family's 1533-position model. Lineage: Bacteria; Pseudomonadati; Thermodesulfobacteriota; Desulfovibrionia; Desulfovibrionales; Desulfovibrionaceae. The record is from RNAcentral.